This 402-nucleotide unclassified non-coding RNA is filed under the name soil metagenome. RNAcentral describes it as "partial contains 5.8S ribosomal RNA, internal transcribed spacer 2, and large subunit ribosomal RNA". The stretch from base 1 to 121 matches the Rfam family "5.8S ribosomal RNA", at positions 35 to 154 of the family's 154-position model. The record is from RNAcentral.
GAUGAAGAACGUAGCGAAAUGCGAUAAGUAAUGUGAAUUGCAGAAUUCAGUGAAUCAUCGAAUCUUUGAACGCACCUUGCGCCUUUUGGCUAUUCUGAAGGGCAUGCCUGUUUGAGUAUCAUGAACACCUCAACUCUCAUGGUUCGCCAUGAUGAGCUUGGACUUUGGGGGUCUUGCUGGCCUACGGUCGGCUCCUCUCAAAUGAAUCAGCUUGCCAGUGUUUGGUAGAGUCGCAGGUGUGAUAACUAUCUACGCUUGUGGUUUUCUGCCAGAUAACCUUCAGUGAUGGAGGUUCGCUGGAGCUUAUAAAUGUCUCUCCCCAGUGAGGACAGCUUUUUGAACGUUUGAUCUCAAAUCAGGUAGGACUACCCGCUGAACUUAAGCAUAUCAAUAAGCGGAGGA